Molecule: ribosomal RNA, 253 nt
Filed under: uncultured bacterium
Lineage: Bacteria
Description: partial 16S ribosomal RNA
Rfam family: Bacterial small subunit ribosomal RNA
Source: RNAcentral
UACAGAGGGUGCGAGCGUUAAUCGGAAUUACUGGGCGUAAAGCGUGCGUAGACGGUUACGUAAGUCGGAUGUGAAAUCCCCGGGCUCAACCUGGGAAUUGCAUUCGAGACUGUGUAGCUGGGGUGCGGAAGAGGGAAGCGGAAUUUCCGGUGUAGCGGUGAAAUGCGUAGAUAUCGGAAGGAACAUCAGUGGCGAAAGCGGCUUCCUGGUCCAGCACCGACGUUCGGGCACGAAAGCGUGGGGAGCAAACAGG